UACGUAGGGCGCAAGCGUUGUCCGGAAUUAUUGGGCGUAAAGAGCUCGUAGGCGGCUUGUCACGUCGGGUGUGAAAGCCCGGGGCUUAACCCCGGGUCUGCAUUCGAUACGGGCUAGCUAGAGUGUGGUAGGGGAGAUCGGAACUCCUGGUGUAGCGGUGAAAUGCGCAGAUAUCAGGAGGAACACCGGUGGCGAAGGCGGAUCUCUGGGCCAUUACUGACGCUGAGGAGCGAAAGCGUGGGGAGCGAACAGG
Molecule: ribosomal RNA, 253 nt
Filed under: uncultured bacterium
Lineage: Bacteria
Description: partial 16S ribosomal RNA
Rfam family: Bacterial small subunit ribosomal RNA
Source: RNAcentral